Molecule: ribosomal RNA, 498 nt
Filed under: uncultured bacterium
Lineage: Bacteria
Description: partial 16S ribosomal RNA
Rfam family: Bacterial small subunit ribosomal RNA
Source: RNAcentral
AUUGAACGCUGGCGGCAUGCUUUACACAUGCAAGUCGAACGGUAACAGGCCGCAAGGUGCUGACGAGUGGCGAACGGGUGUGUAAUGCAUCGGAACGUGCCCAGUCGUGGGGGAUAACGCAGCGAAAGCUGCGCUAAUACCGCAUACGAUCUAUGGAUGAAAGCGGGGGACCGUAAGGCCUCGCGCGAUUGGAGCGGCCGAUGUCAGAUUAGGUAGUUGGUGGGGUAAAGGCUCACCAAGCCGACGAUCUGUAGCUGGUCUGAGAGGACGACCGGCGACACGGGGACUGAGACACGGCCCAGACUCCUACGGGAGGCAGCAGUGGGGAAUUUUGGACAAUGGGGGCAACCCUGAUCCAGCAAUGCCGCGUGAAGGAAGAAGGCCUUCGGGUUGUAAACUGCUUUUGUACGGAACGAAACGGCUCUGGUUAAUACCCGGGGCUAAUGACGGUACCGUAAGAAUAAGCACCGGCUAACUACGUGCCAGCAGCCGCCGUAA